Molecule: small nucleolar RNA, 220 nt
Filed under: Eucalyptus grandis
Lineage: Eukaryota; Viridiplantae; Streptophyta; Magnoliopsida; Myrtales; Myrtaceae
Description: Plant small nucleolar RNA U3
Rfam family: Plant small nucleolar RNA U3
About the family: Small nucleolar RNAs (snoRNAs) are involved in the processing and modification of rRNA in the nucleolus. There are two main classes of snoRNAs: the box C/D class, and the box H/ACA class.
Source: Rfam by way of RNAcentral
ACGACCUUACUUGAACAGGAUCUGUUCUGUAGGUCCAUACCUCUGCGUCCUUGAGACCUAAGAAGACGAGCCAUAGUCUGGUGGAUGAACCAUGACCGUGUGAUCAGAGCGUGAUUAACGGCUCUGAUGGGUCCUGCUUGGAUCCAUUAGAGCUGUAGUAGGAUCGUGUUCUCAGUCGGAGUUACGCGCCUGGGAUGGUUACACGGCUGUCUGACAGACU